Spea bombifrons (plains spadefoot toad) is the source of this 391-nucleotide long non-coding RNA. RefSeq lists it as uncharacterized. The transcript has 2 exons. The record is from RefSeq and is a predicted model, not a curated record. NCBI's taxonomy places the organism in Eukaryota, Metazoa, Chordata, Amphibia, Anura, Pelobatidae.
GAGUCAUAAUUAUGGUGUAGAACAUCCUAUUCCCUUGGAAUAAAACAAAGUCAGGAGCUGGUAUCACUAUUUCCCAGAAUCUUUUACCCAAACUAUUCUCAGACAUUUCAGGGAACAAGAGUACACCUAUAUGCCAGGUCUGUGGGACACUAAAAUAUACAAGAUUUUUUAACGUUUCAGAGGGUUUUGUUUUUGAAUUGCAAUCAACCAAAAUUCACUUUGUGCAUUCUUUGUAAUUAAGGAGAAUUGGCUGUAAAAUGUGCGCAGUAGCAGUAAAAGCGCAAUCACUUUACAAAGAUGGUACGGUACGUAUGGUACUCAAAAAAUAAUCAGUAACAAGUGUCAAAAAUGAUCAAAUUGACAAAAGCAAAUAUUUAAACAAGAAACAAAA